This 86-nucleotide transfer RNA is filed under the name Blumeria graminis f. sp. tritici. It matches the Rfam family "tRNA". From Rfam's summary of the family: Transfer RNA (tRNA) molecules are approximately 80 nucleotides in length. Lineage: Eukaryota; Fungi; Ascomycota; Leotiomycetes; Helotiales; Erysiphaceae. The record is from Rfam by way of RNAcentral. RNAcentral also lists the same sequence under 1 other name.
GGUGGUGUGGUGUAAUGGUAGCACGUGACGUUGUGGUCUAAACACGAUAAUCCGUUUCAAUCUGGGUUCGAUUCCCAGCACCGCCA